RNAcentral lists this long non-coding RNA (1863 nucleotides) under Homo sapiens (human). Its description in RNAcentral is "non-protein coding lnc-MANBA-2:1". The record is from RNAcentral. Lineage: Eukaryota; Metazoa; Chordata; Mammalia; Primates; Hominidae.
GGCAUAAGCAUUCAGGGGCGUUGCUUUCCUGGCAGUGGCCCGCCCCAGUUCGAGCCGGUGCCUUACUGCGUCUCGCGAGAACUUAUGCAUUUUGGAGGCGGAACCCCGUCAGGAAAAGCGCACAAAACUGCUCUUAAGUCAUUGCAGAGCUACCGCUUCGGUUAGCCAGCCACGAAGUUCUCGCGAGAGUCGUCUCCUCGAUACCAAGUGAGGAAACUGGGGGACGCUGUGGGGAGGGGCGUGGGGCUGGAUCGCGCAGCGGCUGCUUCCUUUACCUUCCUCCCAUGGUCUCCUUCCGGUUCUCGAUGCUUCUCUGAGCCUAAGGGUUUCCGCCACUCGUUCACCCUCCCCCCAGCUCAUGAUCCUCCUCCCUCCCCCGCCCUCCUGGUCCAAUCUCCGAUCUGUUUAGUAAGAAGGUGCUGUUCCGAGAAGAAGGAAAAGGGCUUGACACGUAUUCACUCGGCCCCGGACGUGGGAAGCAAGCCGUCUGGCUUCGGCCUCACAUCGGUCUUGUGCUCGGGACGGCGGCGUUGGCGGACUGAUCCGCGGCGGUGAAGAGGCAGGAGGAGGGGGAGGGGCGGAGCGUGGCAGCUGGCAGUAGUUCCGUCAGAGCGGACAUCUUGUGGCUGUGUCGUGCGCGUGAGCCCCGUAGGGCCGGGGAGGCACCAGCUGCCGCGCGGGGAGGAGGCCGAGGCCGCAGCUUGAGGGAGGCCCCGGCCCCUCUGUACGCGUGGGUGUGGACGGCUAGGGCAGGGAAGGGAGGCCGGCCCAGUGGCCGGCCGGGUAAGAGGGGCAGUGCGGGACCUGGGCGGCUUGAGCGGCCAGCCUAUUGGGUGCGGUGGGUUAGGGUGGGAAGGUUGGGGAAGCCGCGGCCUCUCCUGCUGGAGGAGGAGGGGGAAUGGGCGCGUCCUCGCGCCUAAGCCGGAGCCUCAGGGACAGCGCGGGCGCGUGGUGGAGGUGGCUGGGCGGGCGCGCGCGGGAGCGCGCUGGAAGGCGGAGUGAGUGUACGGUGGCGUCAGGGGUGACACAGAAUAGCUCGCUGCGAGGAUAGCAAUACACAUCAAGUCUCCCUUCCUUUAUUUCCUUCCUUUUCCCGGCCGCACCUUUGGACAGAAACCGAAAGCAGCCCGGCGUCCGUCCGGAGUCUUAUGCUUCCCCCUCCCCCCUUGCCUUUCUUUGCCCUAGUGACGCCGGUAUAGCGCCGACUAGGCCCCGGCUCCUCCUCUGCUGGGCUCCGGACCCUGCCCCGCACCCACCCCUUUCUCCUACGCCUCUUCCUCUCCCACCCGGGUCUCUUCCUUUCUAGAGGCCGGGAAGUUAAACUUGUAGCCACCACCUCCGCUCUUCCCGUCACCCUCGCCCCCACUUCGGGCCGAAAGCACGGUACAGAGGCUGUUGGUGGCUUUGCCACGCCACCCCACCCACCCCGGAUCGCGGCUGUCUUAAGGGACCUGGAUUCAUCAGGGGCUCUUCGGGGCCUGUGCGAGUGCUGAUCUGCUCCGUUUUUGCAAAAGGCGCCUGUGUCUGGCAGAGCUGGUGUGAGACGAGACAAUCCUGCCCCGCCGCCGGGAUAAUCAAGAGUUUUGGCCGGACCUUUGAGCAUACACCGAGAGAGUGAGGAGCCAGACGACAAGCACACACUAUGGCGCUGAAACGGAUUAAUAAGGAACUUAGUGAUUUGGCCCGUGACCCUCCAGCACAAUGUUCUGCAGGUCCAGUUGGGGAUGAUAUGACUUAUCUAUGUGGGAUAUUGAGUAUCCAUUGAAAUGGAUUUGUUCAGCCAUUUACAUUAAUGAGCAUUUAAAUGCAACAGAUAUCAUUUCAGGUGACUUAACAUGAAUGAAUAAAAGUCAAUGCUAUUGG